Molecule: long non-coding RNA, 1109 nt
Filed under: Macaca mulatta (Rhesus monkey)
Lineage: Eukaryota; Metazoa; Chordata; Mammalia; Primates; Cercopithecidae
Description: lncRNA (ENSMMUG00000050823.1)
Source: RNAcentral
AUUUUCUUCUCAUUUCAGUUUUCCUUACUUUCCAGUCCAGUAUCCUAAACCUGCUGGGACUGGAGACUCAGGAUGUAUAAGGUAACUCCCUUUUUUUUUUUUGAGACAGAGUUUCACUCUUGUUACCCAAGCUGGAGUGCAAUGGCGUGAUCUUGGCUCACCGCAACCUCCGCCUCCCGAGUUCAAGUGAUUCUCCUGCCUCAGCCUCCCAAGUAGCUGGGAUUACAGGUAUGCGUCACCACGCCUGGGUAAUUUUGUAUUUUUAGUAGAGACAGUGUUUCUCCAUGUUGGUCAGGCUGGUCUCAAACUCCCGACCUUAGGUGAUCUGCCCUCCUCGGCCUCCCAAAGUGCUGGGAUUACAGGCGUGAGCCACUGCAGCUGGCCAAGAGAACCCUUUUAAACUGUGAAUGACUCUGAAUGCUGCUAAGUUCUUUUUAUAAGUUUCUCUUCUUGGCCACCUUUCUUUAUCUUAUGUUUUAUUUAUUUCCUUGAAUAUGUUAAAUCGACAAAAUCCAAAAAAUAAAGAAAAACUGUUUAUCUUCUCUAUUUUGGUUCCAUGAAAAAGUUGGUUCAAAUCAUUCAGUCUGGCAUUACUGGAAAUCUCUUAACAAGAUUUACAGAGCUGCCACCCCAGUGAAUUCCACCCCACUGAAUUCAUUGUUCAUUGAGAGAGAUUAGAAAAUGAAGAUACCAUGCCCCUUGGCUUCCCUUCUAAAGGAGACACUGGGAAAGGAGAGAAUGUGGAGAAGAGACUUUUGUCCUGGAUUAGAUUUACAGUCACAGAUUUUCAAGUGGGAAAAGCUCAAGGAUGGUUUCAUCCAAUACCCCAUUCACAGGUAAGGAAACUGGUAUAGAGUGAGGCAACCUGGGCAGAGACCAAACAAGAGAUGAGCCUGCAGCUCCUGGUUCCUUCUACAGGGAAAACAAAACAUGUUCACUUAAAUAUUAUCUAUGUGAUCCUUAAAACGUACCUAUGACAUCUUUAGGAAAAUCUUCCUCCUACCUUGUGGACAUCAAUGCCUGCAGGGGCUGAGAAAUGUGCCCACAUCUCACUCACAAGCUGUCCAGAGGACCCAGCGCUCCUGAGACAACUGUCUAUUCCUUUCGCC